This is a long non-coding RNA of Gallus gallus (chicken), 2398 nucleotides long. The record is from Ensembl. NCBI's taxonomy places the organism in Eukaryota, Metazoa, Chordata, Aves, Galliformes, Phasianidae.
GAGGGGGGUGCUGCUGUACAGCAGGGGUGGGAUGCUGGCACAGGCAGCGCUGUAUCCCUAUAUCUCAGCUAUUGUCAAAAACUGCUGUGCACAGCAGGCCUGCGGCGGCGAGGGCAGAGCAGCUGCUUUCAGCUCAAUUAGAGGCAGAAUUGGCUCCCAGCAGAAUAAGCAGCGCACCCGCAGCUCCCAGCUGUCCCUCUCCUCCUAAACGGAGCUCAGAGCACGGAGGUAAAUAGGGGUUGGGGUUCUGCAAAACCCACGAGCGAGCUGCAAAAAGGGCAGCUUGGAAAAGUUCACAGAUCCGACCACUGGGGGCUGCUCUGGUUAUACAUAAAUCACCACCGCGCGCAUUGUCAAACAUGGAAAACUCAACCCAAGGAAAUAAAGGGCAGGGGUUAGAGAGUUUCUGAGCUGCUCUUUCCUGCCUUCAUACUCCACAUGCAUGCAAAUGCACCGUAGACUUCACAGCUCUAUUUUAAAGAUCAGAGAUCAAUCACUUCACGCAGUAAAUGCUGCAUGCCCAAAAGCCACCUGGAAGGCACAGGAGCCAGAGUUUAUUACACUCAAUCACAAACAGAACGUAUGAAUUUCAUCCAACAUGCACUGCUAAGCAGACCCACUGAGGAAGAGGGAGAGAGUGCAGAGGGAGCUGCAGAAUACCAGCAGAAAAUUAAGCCUCCUCUUAGCUGGCAGUCAUGGCAAGAAGGCGACACUGUGGAGAGGGGCAAUGCAGGUGAGAGCAGUGUUGCAGCAACAUACUGAGAGGGAUCUGACAAAUGGGGUUUGCUUAGCACUGAGCAGCCCAGGAGGAGCUGUGUGCUCAGGUGGGAUCAGUGAACACCCGGUGGGGGAGGGAAUUCCUUUGCACUGCUCUCUGGCUGUGCUGUGGGGUGUGCUGCCCCCCUCAGCAGCAAGUCUGCAGCCACGGGAUGCAGGAAAGCCGUGCUGUGCUGCCCUUCAGCUGCUGAGCCCUACAGCAGCUCUCUGCAGCGAUGCCCACGGCUCAGGGAAGCUGCAGCGUUCCUCUCCUGUGCCCUCAGCCAUGCACCCACACGGCCUUUGCCUGCCCAGCACCAGAAGCCUGUGGGGUGACACUCAAAAAGCAUCACAGAACAUCGGUCUCCAAGAGGCUCCUGAGGCUGUGCAGCCAUCCCAGCGUGGUAUCAACUCCAUCGAAGCGGUGAGCAGAGAGGCUGAGGCACAGCCCCAACCCUACGGAGCCGGUGGGAGGUUUGCUGUUGACCUGGGACUCGUUGGGUUUAAACGCUCAGAGGGAUGUCAGGUGGAAGAGAACUUCGCACGCCUCCCCUGGAAGGAAGGGCGGCUGAGACGCAACGAUCCCCAUUAGCAAAGCUCCGCUCUCCGUGCUUUUUAAAGGCUAAUCCUUCCAGACGGAGCUCACAUCCAUCUCGCAUAGCAAAGCGCUCUGCAGGGCAGCGCCGAUCAGCACUGGAGGCAGCGGGUGGGAGGGCGGUGUGGGAUGCGCCGCGACAGCCCCGUGUGAUGCUCACCCAGAUGUGUGCCGCUCCCCAUGGCAGCCGCUGGGGCCUCCAGGAGCUCAGGUGCUGCUCUUCCAAAUCCAAAAUCCUUCAAGAAAUCUGAUUGAGAGAGAGAGAGAGAGAAAAAAAAAGGAAUGAUAUCAGCGCCGGGGUGCAAAUUGAGGGCAGGGCCCUGGCAAAUUCACUCUGACUUGCAGGGAGGCCGGGACCUCGCGGUGAUUAUUUCUCUUCUCCAGCGUUCUCAGACUCAGAUCUGAUCACUGUGAGCACAGACACGGAGCUCUGUCUGUCUGAGACCCAUCGCUGCUGCUAUCAGUGGGGUUCUGUUCUCUACACACCCCAACCCCCUGCAGUGAUUGUGAAGAGCAGCUUAGGGCUCAAAUACGAAGUCGUUGAGUUGGGUGCCUAAUUCCUUUCAAUCUGCUUUUUAUUUCCUGGCCUCGGGGCUCUGAGGAAGCAGCUGGUUUGAUUUGAUGAAGAAAAGAGCUGUUCCAUUAACGGGUCUGAUGGCUGAGAGGGUGCUUUCAGCUGGGGAUGGAUCCCAGCACCCUUCACCAGGCCACACUUGCUGCUGGAUCAUAUUUUCCCUUCAAUGACAUUACAUCUUAAACGGGCUUUCACUGUAAUAACAUUUGCAGUAAUGAAAUCACUCUGCGGCACAGUCUUCUUUUAACAGCACAAAUACCUGAGUUGGCUACAAAGGGAGAUUUAAAUGUCACAGAGGAUGUGCUGGAUGUGUCCAUCAGAAGAUAAGGCUUCUCUUUGUCGAUGAAUGGAGACACAACGGUGGCUGCGGGGUGUUCGGGGCACAAAGGCAGCUCCUUCAAUAGGGAGAGAGGCAGCUCAGAGGAGAGGCAGAUAAUACAGAGAGCUUUCAAAUCUCACGCUGGCUAUAGGGC